RNAcentral lists this ribosomal RNA (362 nucleotides) under uncultured fungus. RNAcentral's name for it is "LSU rRNA". Lineage: Eukaryota; Fungi. The record is from RNAcentral.
ACGAUUGAAGCCAGUCGUACCUUCGGGUAAUCAGCCUUUCGGGUGCGAUUCUGUGGGGUUUGAGGAGCUUAACACCUUCAUGCUUUGCAUAUUCGUGCUCUUGGGUGUACUUGCCCGUGUGGUUGGUUAACAUCAAUUUUGGUGGUCAUAAAAUGACUGGAGGAAUGUAGCUUCGAUCUUGUAUUGAAGUGUUAUAACCUUCGGUAGAUGUGAUGAUCGAGAUUGAGGAUUGCAACGGAUACCCUUCGGGGCUACCUGUCUGAUCUCUGAUCGUUGCUCUGGUGCCGAAAGCUUGCUCACGGUUAUCAAAGUCGAUGGUCAAUAGGUUAGAACGGGUUAAAUUCGUUAAGGAUGUUGACGUA